UACGUAGGGUGCGAGCGUUUAUCGGAAUUACUGGGCGUAAAGCGUGCGCAGGCGGCUUUGCAAGACAGAUGUGAAAUCCCCGGGCUCAACCUGGGAACUGCAUUUGUGACUGCAAGGCUAGAGUACGGCAGAGGGGGAUGGAAUUCCGCGUGUAGCAGUGAAAUGCGUAGAUAUGCGGAGGAACACCAAUGGCGAAGGCAAUCCCCUGGGCCUGUACUGACGCUCAUGCACGAAAGCGUGGGGAGCAAACAGG
Molecule: ribosomal RNA, 253 nt
Filed under: uncultured bacterium
Lineage: Bacteria
Description: partial 16S ribosomal RNA
Rfam family: Bacterial small subunit ribosomal RNA
Source: RNAcentral